GCGGAAGUGGCUCAGUGGUAGAGCAUCGCCUUGCCAAGGCGAGGGUCGCGGGUUCAAAUCCCGUCUUCCGCUCCA
RNAcentral lists this transfer RNA (75 nucleotides) under Acetobacterium wieringae. Its description in RNAcentral is "tRNA-Gly". It matches the Rfam family "tRNA". Rfam says of the family: Transfer RNA (tRNA) molecules are approximately 80 nucleotides in length. Their secondary structure includes four short double-helical elements and three loops (D, anti-codon, and T loops). Further hydrogen bonds mediate the characteristic L-shaped molecular structure. tRNAs have two regions of fundamental functional importance: the anti-codon, which is responsible for specific mRNA codon recognition, and the 3' end, to which the tRNAs corresponding amino acid is attached (by aminoacyl-tRNA synthetases). tRNAs cope with the degeneracy of the genetic code in two manners: having more than one tRNA (with a specific anti-codon) for a particular amino acid; and 'wobble' base-pairing, i.e. permitting non-standard base-pairing at the 3rd anti-codon position. The record is from RNAcentral. Lineage: Bacteria; Bacillati; Bacillota; Clostridia; Eubacteriales; Eubacteriaceae. RNAcentral also lists the same sequence under 40 other names.